Molecule: long non-coding RNA, 596 nt
Organism: Symphalangus syndactylus (siamang)
Lineage: Eukaryota; Metazoa; Chordata; Mammalia; Primates; Hylobatidae
Source: RefSeq, a predicted model, not a curated record
ACCUGCCCACCUUCAGCAUCCUCCUUGCCUUGUCUUUGCUUUUCUUUCCUCACUUCCCCACCCUGCCCCAGGAUGUGGGGAGGAGAGGAAGUAGCAGGGGGCACCUGUUUUCUGCACAGUGGACGCCCAAUAAAUGCUAUUGACUGAAUGUUGUGCAAGUCUGAAGCCAAAACCGAAAUCCCCGGCUGCUUUAACAGAAGGCCAAUGCAGCUCUGUUCCCCAUACGCACUGCCUGGCAAAAGACAACUGAUCUGGCAUGAAGGAGAGAGAAGAGGUGUAUGAGUGAAAUUCAUCUGACAAGAAAAAGAAAGCAAGAGAGAGUUUAAAGAACUUACCUGAAGCUCCGGUGGUGCAAUCAGUUAGUAUAUGGUACUCUUAAGAACUUACCAGACAGCACAGAGAUACAGACUGAAUCUAGUCAGGCUGAUCCAGGUUCUGUGUUCCUCAGUGUGCCACAUCACCUUGAUGCUGAGACUCAUCUGAGACUUUCUUAAUGGCAUUUCCUCACCCCACGCUGCCUCCUCUGUUAAUAGCAUGAUAUUAUUAGGUUGGAGCAAAAGUAAUUGAGACUUUUGCCAUAAAAGUAAUGUAUCCAU